GACAGAGGUCCCGAGCGUUAGGCGGAAUCACUGGGCUUAAAGCGUGUGUAGGCGGCGGCCUAAGUACCUUGUGAAAUCCCACGGCUCACCCGUGGAACUGCUCGGUAUACUGGGUCGCUUGAGCCACUUAGGGGCUACCGGAACAAAUGGUGGAGCGGUGAAAUGCGUAGAUAUCGCUUGGAACGCCGACGGUGAAAACAGUCUGCUGGGGGUGUGCUGACGCUGAGACACGAAAGCCAGGGGAGCGAACGGG
This 253-nucleotide ribosomal RNA is filed under the name uncultured bacterium. RNAcentral's name for it is "partial 16S ribosomal RNA". It matches the Rfam family "Bacterial small subunit ribosomal RNA", at positions 524 to 776 of the family's 1533-position model. The record is from RNAcentral.